AGAGAGUGCAAGCGUUAAUCGGAAUUACUGGGCGUAAAGCGCGCGUAGGUGGAUACUUUAGUCGGAUGUGAAAGCCCUGGGCUUAACCUAGGAACUGCAUCCGAUACUGGGUAUCUUGAGUAUGGUAGAGGGAAGUGGAAUUUCCGGUGUAGCGGUGAAAUGCGUAGAUAUCGGAAAGAACACCAGUGGCGAAGGCGGCUUCCUGGACCAAUACUGACACUGAGGUGCGAAAGCGUGGGGAGCAAACAGGGAUUAGAGACCCUGGUAGUCCACGCUGUCAACGAUGAGAACUAGACGUUGGAGGGGUAACCCCUUUAGUGUCGAAGCUAACGCGUUAAGUUCUCCGCCUGGGGGAGUACGGCCGCAAGGUUA
RNAcentral lists this ribosomal RNA (372 nucleotides) under uncultured organism. RNAcentral's name for it is "partial 16S ribosomal RNA". It matches the Rfam family "Bacterial small subunit ribosomal RNA", at positions 527 to 896 of the family's 1533-position model. The record is from RNAcentral.